UUCUAUAUGAAUCAGCGCGCGAAGAAAACUGUUUUUUCACUGUUAAUGGAAAAAGGUAAUAGCACGUUCCUAAUCUAACGAUGCGGCUAGAUACAUGUUAGGCUACUCCACAAGAACAGUCCCAUUAUUUGUGUUGGUCAAUGAGAAAGUUGGAGAUGGAAAUUAUCUUAUAUAAAAGAAAAAGGUAAAAGAGGUAAAUUAGAUGGUUUCAAACACCUCUAUUAGGCCUACAUGUUCGUCUGCUUCGCAAAUUCACCUGUAAUGUAUUACAUGGUAAAAAUAAGGAUGUCAUCUUUUCCUCAACAUAAAAGUAUACUUGCCUUUCAACAAACAAUAAACAACCGUGUAAUUAAUUCGUUUAGUUCAAUAGUCUAGCUUAUUCGUUCAGUAAACCCGCACAAUUUAGUCGAUUUGUUCAAUGAGCCCAACUCUAAUUCUGUUUGUUGUGAAAUAACACAAUGUUUAUUUAAGACACUUUUCUGGAAAUGUGAAAUAUACUGUGUUCAUAUAUAUAUAUAUAUAUAUAGAUAAAAUAUUGGACUAUCAGUGUGACUUAGAUUCUAUACUUUGUUUACAUCCAACCAAUGUACGCAUUCCUUCUCUUCGCUACCAUUCCAGGCUUGUACAAUGAGCUCAGAAACUGCAAAGUUGUGAAUAUAUCCGAGAAGAAUGUACAGAAAAAGACCCCGCCCACAUUCUUUGAGGAAAACUUUAUUCCUUAGGGCUAAACAGGCUUAAAUAAAGAAAGAUUCAUAUACCAAAGACUGCGUCUUGCAUGGAAUGAUUUGAGAUUUUUAAGAAUGGAAAGCACACGGGGACCAUCGUCUCAUCCAGUGAAAGCCUUACCAUCCUGCAGCAGGUGGUGGUGCUGAUAAAGGCGGUCAAAGAAAGGUGAAAGUGGUUUUAUGUCAUGUGUUUACCCUCUUUCAAACAUGUGCAUCUCUACUGUAAUUCAACGAUUUAUUUUCAAAGAUAGCCUCAAAAUAUUACCUCAUUCCCUGUAGCCAUUCCCCUUGCAAGGGGAAGAUGAAACUCUAUUGGUCAACAUAAACUAGUAGGGCUGGUCAGUUUAUUAAUAUUUUCCCUUGUAACUGUAUCUUGGAUUAAAAAUAAUUUGCUCUUAAAACAAACUAUAGCAUUAUUUUCGAAUGUUUAUGUUCCUGACCCUAUAGUAACCACAGUGUCGUCAGUGGUGUGAUGGUAGCCAUUACCCACUUCAGUGGGCUCCGGUAUCAUUAGUUUCAAGGUCUCCCGAUACUCCAGAUAAACGUUGUGGUUUCCACCCCACCCCUCUAUUACGGCUUCUGAUCAGUCAACUAGCCUGCUGAAUCACAAAUGCUCUUA
This is a non-coding RNA of Oncorhynchus mykiss (rainbow trout), 1344 nucleotides long. The record is from RefSeq and is a predicted model, not a curated record. NCBI's taxonomy places the organism in Eukaryota, Metazoa, Chordata, Actinopteri, Salmoniformes, Salmonidae.